Parus major (Great Tit) is the source of this 1548-nucleotide long non-coding RNA. Lineage: Eukaryota; Metazoa; Chordata; Aves; Passeriformes; Paridae. The record is from Ensembl.
UGUGAGAUGGAGAGCCAGAACGAGGAGUACAAGAUGCUGCUGGGCAUCAAGACCCGCCUGGAGCAGGAGAUCCAGCAGUACCGGGCACUGCUGGAGGAGGGACAGCAGGAUCUUGUGUACGUAUUGACAGAGCACAGCACUGUGUGACCCCCGACUGCUGCUCAGUCACCGGCAGGAAAUGGAACAGUCGAGAAUUGCAAAACAGAUUUUGUACUGAAAUGAGGCAGAUGCAGCUGGCUUGGCCGAUCUCCUUCUGGAGUGAGAUAUUUUAUUCUGUUCAGAAUAUAAUUCAUGUGAAGAAAACCCAAUGCAGAAAUUCUGAACCACCAGUUUGGUGUUGGACCUAUGUAAGAGAGCCUGGUUCCAAGCUUCCAGAAAAGACUGUAAGCAAAAAAAAAAAACCCACCAAAAAAACAACCAAAAAACAACAACAAAAAACAACCAAAAAACCCCCAACAAACCCAAACCAACCAAAGUUUUCCAAACCUUUAUAAAGUUCCUGAAAGUUCAAGCUACUUCAGCCUCACUUAUGCACUGUGCCAGCUUCUUCUUGGAAAUGGUGCCUGAAACAGCAGCUGAAGUUUCAUUCUCUUCUUUCUUUUGAUUUUGAGUCACACACUGAUGUUUGUGCCAAAUAUUGCAAGGAAUCCCUAGGCAGAAUGUGGGAAGAGCAAAAGCUCUUGCAUUCAAGUUGAAAUUGAAAGACAGGAUAAUUUUUGGCACUGCCUCAGUUGUUUUGCUGUGCAGUGCUGGGUUCUAACCGGCAGUACGACCCACAGACGUCCUGAUUCCUGGGCAGCAGCUGUAGCUUAAUGGCCUUCAGAGCAAAGAGCUCUUGAUUAACUUUUUUUUCCCCUUCUUUCUCUCUCUUUGCAGAAUCCCAGGAGGAGGAAUGGGAGGAGGCAUGGGAGGAGGCAUGGGAGGUGGUAGAAUUGGAGGCGGUGGUUACUCUGGGGGAGGAAGAGGAGGAGGUGGUGGCAUGAGUGGUGGAUAUGGAGGUGGUAGCAGCGGAAUGGGAGGAGGAAUGGGAGGAGGAAGUUGUGGAGGAGGAAUGGGAGGAGGAAGUGGAGGAGGAGGAAUGGGAGGAGGAAGUGGAGGAAUGGGAGGGGGCAGCAGUGGUGGAUGCAUUGGAGGAGGAGGAGGAGGAAGAACCUCAGGAGGCAUCAGCAGUUCCCACUCCUACUCCUCAUCUUCCCAGUCCCAGUCCUGCAGGAGCGGUGGUGAAAGCCAAGGAUAUGGAAGAAAAUCUUUUGACUAAGAAUAUACAUCAAGGAUCCUUCAGAGCAAGACCUUUCGAAAUGAAACUGGCCCAAAUCCGCUGCAUUCCCCACACUCCCAAGGAAAGAUGAUGCUCUGAACAGUUCCUGGGAGUUGCAGAUGCCACCUCUCCCCCUGCCCUGCAUGUUCUGUGCUGCUUCUGCCCACAAAGCUCUGCAGCUUUGGUCAUUGCCACUCAAACUGCUGCUUUACAGAUCCAACCUGUUUGGUACUCAAAUUGCUCUGAAUGAGGAAAAUAUCUCUAAUAAAAUUUCAUUUCUGUCUGAUGCA